This 410-nucleotide ribosomal RNA is filed under the name uncultured bacterium. RNAcentral describes it as "bacterial SSU rRNA". It matches the Rfam family "Bacterial small subunit ribosomal RNA", at positions 355 to 774 of the family's 1533-position model. The record is from RNAcentral.
UAGGGAAUAUUGCGCAAUGGGCGGAAGCCUGACGCAGCGACGCCGCGUGAGCGAAGAAGGCCUUCGGGUCGUAAAGCUCUGUCCUUGGGGAAGAAGGCGAAAGCUUGACGGUACCCAAGAAGAAAGCCCCGGCUAACUACGUGCCAGCAGCCGCGGUAAUACGUAGGGGGCGAGCGUUGUCCGGAAUUACUGGGCGUAAAGGGUGCGUAGGCGGCCUUUUAAGUCAGAUGUGAAAGGCUGCGGCUUAACCGCAGGACUGCAUUUGAAACUGGAAGGCUUGAGUGUCGGAGAGGGUAGUGGAAUUCCCAGUGUAGCGGUGAAAUGCGUAGAUAUUGGGAGGAACACCAGUGGCGAAGGCGACUACCUGGACGAUAACUGACGCUGAGGCACGAAAGCUAGGGGAGCAAACA